AUUAUUACAACUAUGAUGUCAUUGUAAAUAUUCUAGUUGCGAUUAUAAUGUAAAUAUUACCUCAUCGUUAUUUGCUGUUCUCAGUGGCUACCUGCUCGUGAAUAUUUUAAGAUUCCAUACAUAAAACAGUUUAAUAUUAAACGAGGUAAGGAGGCUGCAAACACAGAUUAGAUAUCACUCACAAACACGCCCGAGAUAAUGUUGGCAGAGUUGGCAGAGGCAGUUAAUUAGACUAUUACGAAACUAUACUUUUGUGCCGGCUUUUGAUUAAAUACUGGAAAAUUUU
Danaus plexippus (monarch butterfly) is the source of this 286-nucleotide long non-coding RNA. RefSeq lists it as uncharacterized. The record is from RefSeq and is a predicted model, not a curated record. The transcript is spliced from 2 exons. NCBI's taxonomy places the organism in Eukaryota, Metazoa, Arthropoda, Insecta, Lepidoptera, Nymphalidae.